UUCUCAACUAUCAAGUAAAGGGACCUCAAGAGUGGGCAAUAUGUCAGGUCAGAGGAAAGAUCACCACAUCACCCAGAAAGGCAGGUGGAGGAAGAGAGGAAUGUGCAGUUUGAAAAAGCACAUUUUGGCCGGGGAAAGUGGCUCAUACCUGUAAUCCCAGUAGGUUGGGUGGCAGGCAGAUCACCUGAGGUCAAGAGUUCCAGAGCAGCCUAGCCAACGUGGCAAAAUCUUUUCUCUACUAAAAAAAAAACAAAAAUUAGUGGGGCAUGGUGGUUCAUGCCUGUAAUCCCAGCUACUCAGGAGGCUAAUGCAGGAGAAUCUCUUGAAUCCAGGAGGCAGAGGUUGCAGUGAGCCGAGAUCGUGCCACUGCACUCCAGCCUGGGAGCCAGAGGGAGACUCCAUCUCAAAAAAAAAGAAAAGGAGAGGAAAGGAAAGGAAAGGAGAGGAAAGGAGAGGAGAGGAGAGGAAAGAGAAAAAGCAUAUUUAUGAUUUACUUUGAAAAUAAGAAAAUUACUUGCUUUUUGAAUAUAAAUUGCAGCAAGUAACACUCAACAAAAUCUCCUUAGCUGAUGGGGUAUGAUUUUUUUUAAAACAAGAAUGAGUAGAAAACACUGAUUCUAGUUUGUCUUCCCCAUUUUCACAGACCGGAAAACUGAAGCCCAGGGAAGGCAAGUGACUUAGGCAAGAUCACACAACUGCCUCCCAGGCAAACCAGGAAAAGAAACAAAAUCACAGAUACUUGUGCUACCAAAGAAUUAUUCUUGUUACCCCAAGUUUUGAUAUCCCGGAAUGCCAAAGAGUUUUCCCCAAGAGCAUCAUUCCUGGGCUCAGCUUGCAGUUUGACCACCUGGAUCCUGUCAUCAGCAUGACCCGGGGCCGUGGUCCUUCUUGGGAGGUGUCAUGACAUCACAGGGAAAAGCAUAGGCUUCUGACGUCAUGAUAUAAUUCCUGGUUCCUCAGUUUACUAGCUGGAUGACUUGAAAAACUGCUCAACCUCUCUCUGGCCUCUAUGUUCUCAUCUAUAAAAUGGAACCCACCUGACAUGACAACCUCACAGAACUGUUGUGAGGAACUAAUGAGAUUAUGUAACUAACAUGCUUGCUAUUUAGAAAGUGUUCCAUUGUUUUGGCCAGGCACGGUGGCUCAUGCCUGUAACAACACUUUGGGAGGCUGAGGUGGGUGGAUCACUUGAGGUCAGGAGUUUGAGACCAGCCUGGCCAACAUGGUGAAACCCCGUCUCUAUUAAAAAUACAAAAAUUAGCCAGGCAUGGUGCUGCACACUUGUAGUCCCCGCUAUUCAACAUACUGAGGCAGGAGAAUCACUUGAACUCAGGAGGUGGAGACUACAGUCAGCCAAGAUUGCAUCACUGCACUCCAGCCUGAGCAACAGAGUGAAAAAAAAGAAAAUGUUCCAUUAUUUUUCAUUUCUCUUCUCCAGCAUCAUUUCUGAAUACUUCAAAUGAUAAAACAUCAAAGAGACCUCCUGAGGUCACUGGAUGUUCAUCUCAUGGGGGCUGCCCACAUUCCUUGACUCAUGGCCCCUUCUGCCAUCUUCAAAGCUCACAAUGACCAGUCAAGUCUUUCUCACAUGACAUCACUGACUCUGGGUCUCUGGUCUCCCUUUCUUACUUAUAAGGAUCCCUAUGAUGACUUUGGACUCACACAGAAAAUCAGGGUAAUCUUCCCCUGUCAAGAGCAGCAAAUUGGCAACCUUAAUUCCAUCUGCAUCCUUAAUCCCCACCCCCACCAUGUAACAUUCCAUAUUCUCAGGUUCCAGAGAUGAAGACAUGGAUAUCUUUGGAGAACUAUUAUUCUGCCUACCUGGUAUUCAAACCUCCUCCCCAUCCUUUUCCCCUUCGGGCUGACAGAGACAUUGCUGCUUGAUCAGAACACUCAUUUCCUCCUCACAUCCAGUCUCAGAUUCCUUUCAAACACCAUGCUUCCUCAGGCACCAUGAAUGCACUGGCCUUGGCAUAGAAGCAGCAUCCACUUGCUAGCCCUGAAUUCAACAUACAAAGCAAACCCUUGAACGCGGGUAGGGUGGUCUAGGAAAUGCUGAUCUUUGCAGGCCAUCUCAGGGUUUUGGUGUAGCCCCAGCCAAAGACAGAGAUGUGUAGAAUCUUACGUCUCAUCUCUGACAUCAAAGGGACUCCACUGGCUACAAGGACCCAUCCCAGCUCUCCAUCUGGAACCACAGUUGAUAGCAGGACAUUUUCCUGGUCAGUUUUUCUUGGGAGAUUUUUUGUCUGAGCACUAAGUUAUUCCAUGUGGGCAAUUUUCCCACUUGUUUUGGGGUCACUGGACCAUACUUCCUUCUGUCACUUUCUGCUUCUGCACAGAGCACCUGCAGUGACCUUAUUCCUUGCAAGUAAAGAGAUGCUUUUUCCACUGAGGGGCUCCUCCUGCUGGUCUCUGCAGAGAGAAUGCAGAGUCCCUGAGGGUCAGUGAAAAGCUGUGUCUGUUUCCCUCGCCCUUAGAGGGUUAAAACCAAAUGCACCUGACAACUGCUGGAUAGUCCAAAACUCUACCAUGCCUGACCAUGAGAACAUAAUGGCUGCAUUUGCCCAGACGUUGCAAGCCCCUGGCUCAGAAACAAACCCAACAACAGAAAAAUAAAGGGUAAAUAAAUCUGGAUGGGAAUAAAAGAAAAAAACAGGGCCGUGUGUAUUGAGUGAAGUCCUUGCUCUUCUCCUAACUGGACAUAGAGUUGGGACAAGUCUCUUCAAGCCUUUGUGGGCCUUUCUUUCAUGUAGCCUAAAAAAGAAUGUUAGGCCAGAUUAAUUCUGAGAUUUCUGAAAACCCUCAUAGCAAACAGCUUUGGCUCUCACAGCCUGGAAUGGUUUCAAAAGAGAGUAACAAGAAUGGUGGAGGGCUCAGAAUGGUCAGUUCAGAAAAGAGAUUGAAAACACUGGGAAUGUUCAUCCAGGAAAAGAGAGGACGGGGGAUGGUGAUGGUCCUCUGGGUUUCAAUCAGCCCAUUUGCAUGUGAUCCCAUUAGUGUAACUUUCUUUUUUUUUUUUUUUUUUUUUUUUUGAGACAGGGCCUUGCUCUGUUGCCCAGGCUGGAGUGCAGUGGCACAAUCUCGGCUCUCUGCAACCUCUGCCUCCUGGACUCAAGUGAUCUUCCUACCUCAGUCUCCCGAGUAGUUGGGACCACAGGCACAUACCUUCAUGCCCGGUUAAUUUUUGGUAUUUUUGGUAGAGACAGGGUUUCACCAUGUUGCCCAGGCUGGUCUCGAACUCCUGACCUCAGGCAAUCCACCCGCCUCAGCCUCCCAAAGUGCUGGGAUUACAGGUGUGAGCCACCGCACCCAGCCAACAAUGACUUAACUUUCACCAGCUCACUCAGAGCGGCAGCCUGUUUGCAAGUGUCCCCCAGUAUUUCUAGAGUGACUUGGGGGUGCCUCAUGUGUGCUCAACACACACAGCAGUUUUCUGGUCCCCAUAGUUCUACUCUCAUUGGCCUGAUCCAGGCCUCUGCCAGGACACAGGGCGCUGCUACCUCUUGCUGGGGAUCGCUGUCCUUGCCACCACAGAGAUGCUCAAGACCAGAGAACCGCAGGCUCUGCAGUGCAGUGGAGGAGUGAGCCUCUCUCCCCGUUUCGUGUUAGUCUCAAGAUGAGUCCCAGAGCUGGUUCCCCAGUGACUACCACAUGUUAGUGUCAACCAUUCUUUCCAUUUUUGUGCAUAGCUUUUUUGCUCUCCAUAGAUCUCUUAACGAAGUCCAAUGGGGGCUGAGUAGUGAGACAGAUUCUGCUGUGAGCUGUACACUGGGCCAUGCUCAGAACCUCUCCUUUCCUGUCACAAUUAAAGCUCAGUGACCAAGUUAGGUGUUAAUGCCUGGUUCCUUCUUCCUUCAAGACGAGCUCCUUCCCAGGAGGCUCCAUGAUCUCUGGUGCACAUAGGCUUCUAACAGGCCCAUGCAGCAGUUCACCAGGCCUGCCCAGACCUGCCUGAACCAGGUCUGGGCCCCAUUUGGGACUCCCUGCAUAUUUAAUGUGUGGCAGCCUGCCAUGUCAGAGAGGCACUGCGCUUAAGUUGCCCAGCGAAAAGAAGACCAGUAAGCAGAAGCUACACAAUGACAGGGAUUGUUUUCCUCAAAUGUUGAGUAAAAUCUAAUAGAUCUGUCUAUUAGAGAUUUCUCAGAUGGUUGUGAGUGCCCUGUAAUGUGACCCAUUUAGACAGAUGCCUGCAAAAGCCCUAACAGGGAUGUCGUAGAGAAGAUGUCCUGAGUGUCAGACAUCCAGCCCUAGAAAUCUGAACAUCCUUCAUGUUUCACUGCUGAGAUGCUUGUUGGGAAAGUACCUCCUGAAUUGUCCUAGAAAUAGGCCCCAGGCUUCACCACCAGUUUCAUUGCCCAUGGAGAAUAACCACCCCAAAUUCCUCUUCUGAAUCUUGUACCCAAGGCUGAGGCCCUCCCGGUUUGCAAAUGGAAGAGUGUUGUAUAAUAGCCAGGACCUUCUGCAACAUGGAAGGGUACUUCCACAUGACUGGGUCCAAAGAAGACCCACUGGGCAUCAUCAUACUUUUGGGAAUCAAGUUUAUGCAGGAGAAAAGAUGAUUUGGGGAGUACAGUAGCUACGCUCAAAUAUACUAGGGGCUGCAUGAAGCAGAAAUUUCAUAUUUUCAGCUUAGGGAAGUAAAAAAUGCACAAUAGGCUGGAGUCAAAACAUUUAAGAUUGAGCUAUAGUCUCCCUGCAUGCAAACUGUGGAAUCCCAGACAAGUCACAUGAACUCUCCAAGACUUUAUUUCCUCACCUGUAAAACGAGCCUAAUAACACACACAUUGCAAAGUUGUUGUGAUAAUUAUGUGAGAACAUUGUGACCUGCAAUUGGUAUUCCCUAAGCUGAGCUUUUCAAGUGUGUCUUACCCAGCGCUCCACACCCAGUGCCUGGCAUGUCACCUGCUAUAUAUAAUGCCAGCGUUCAGUAAAUGGCCCUUGAAUGAAAUUGAUGUUUCCUCAAAAGACAGAAGGCAGUCAAUAGUUAAAGGUUCUAAGGAAGCUAAAUCUCUCUUUAACUCAAGGAAGCUCUAUCGAACAGCCAGAGCUGUCCACCAGGCUGAUUCAGAGGCAGAGAGCUCUAUUUCAUGGAGGUAUUCAAUCCCAGAGCCUUGACCAGCUGCCAGAGAUGCUCUAGAAUGCACUCUCCCUGUAGAAAGAUCCCCAUAGGAUGUGAGAAGCAGAGAGUAGCAAAGCCACAUUAAGGUGUAGCUACAGCACUGAAAAUCUGUCUCACUCACCAGGCAGGAAUCUGCCUCACACACUGGCAUCUCAGCACAUGCGGUGCAAGCUCAGACCUCACCACAAUCGCAAAUUAUGCCGUGAGCCUUAGGGACACUCACAAAUUACAGCAAAUAUUAAAGCUACUCACACCAAGGUCUAUUGAAAACCAUGUUAUCUGCCUAGACAUCCCAAUCCAACAUGCUGCAGUGUUAUGGCUCCUCACUUGUAUGUUUGCAGCAGGUAAGAAUCGGCAUCACUCAUUCAUUCAACAAGCAUCGAUUGAGUAUCUAAUCUAUGGCAGGCACUGCACUGGGGUGGGGAAGUGAGGGCAGUGGCUGAGUCAGGGACCAGGGAUGAAAGCAGGAAUAGGGUACAACCUUUCACACAACAGAUUUGCUCUGCCUUAGAGACAAACAUAUCUAUCAGGGACAGAGACAUUCCAUAGCAACCAAACAAAUCAGGGUAUAAUUACAAACUGUAAUAAGCAGCAUGAAGGAAAAGUAAGAGGGAUAUUGAGGGACUAUAUAGAGGGCCAGUGUCAAGAAAAGGUUUCUCUGGGGAAGCAACAUUUGACCUGAGAGCUGGACGCUGAGUCCACUUUAGCCAACUAAAGACUUGGGUGAAGCAGUUUGGAACAGCAGGAACAGCAUUUGCAAAGGCCUGAGGCAGGAAAGUGAAGUUAGUCAAAGGACUGAGAGAAGGCGCAUGUGGUUGGAAACUCUCAGCAAGUGAGGCAGAGGAGGAACUUGUUAGAUAUCUUUUCUAUCUUAUCCUAAAUUCAAGAGAUAACCAGCAAAGGAUUUCCAGCAAAGAAUGAUGAGAACAGAUUUGUGGCUUGAAAAGAUCACCCAGAAGAAGAGAGUGGAAAGAGUGCAAGAGUGGAAGCAUUUUAAAAACAAUCAUGGUCUCAGAAUUUAGAAAUAACUUAGGGUCACCAUCAGAAUAUUGGGAGCUAGUAAAAUUGAGUGUUUAUAUUACAUUCUUCAAAUUUCAGUAAUAAAAUGGAUCCCAAAGUUGAAAAAAAAAAAACAAUCAUGGUCUGCCAGGUGCGGUGGCUCAUGCCUGUAAUCCCAGCACUUUGGGAGGCCAAGGCAGGUGGUCAGGAAUCCAAGACCAGCCUGGCCAAAAUGGUGAAACCCCGUCUCUACUAAAAAUAUAAAAAUUAGCCGAUUAGCCGGGCGUGAUGGCUGGUGCCUGUAAUCUCAGCUACCUGGGAGGCUGAGUCAGGAGAAUUGCUUGAGCCCAGGAGGCGGAGGCUGCAGUGAGCCGAGAUCGUGCCACUGCACUCCAGCCUGGAUGACAGAGUGAGGACUCUGUCUCAGAAAAUAAACAAACCAAAUAAUAAUAAUAAUAACAAUCCUGGUUGUCUGGAGGGGAGAGUGGUGACUUGCAUGAAAGUAAGGUGGCAGCAGAGAGGUACUAACAAAUACCGAUUUCAUUUGAGCUACCACUUACAGGAAAAGGUAAGAGAGCCAGGGGAAAAAACAAUUCUGUGUGCUCAGGGAAAAUUAUGAGAAUAAAUUUCAAGGAAUCCUAAAGUCUUACAGGGUCUGAAGACAUAUAAUUAAAGCAAAAAGAUAGAUCUUAAGCACAGAACAUUCACAUAGCCUCAGGCUACUACUUAAAGAAGAAAUAGAAGGAAAUAUACCAAUAUGUUAACGGCGGUUAUCUCACAUUAAGGGUGCUUUUUAUUUCUAUAUUUGUGUGUUGCUGUUUUCCAAGUUUUCUACAAUCAUUUGUGUGUUUCUUAUGUAAUUAGGAAAAAGCAACCAUGUUACUAAUUUAAAAAAUAAUAAUGUCAUCUUUUCACUUUCUGGGCAUGUCUACAGGAAAGACUUAAAACUAUCCCCUGGAAUUACACCUUCCUAGUGCGAUCAUGACCCUUCCUGGGGAAGAGGUAGAGGGGCAUUCGGAAACAGUGAUGGCCAAUUCUCAGUCUCAGCCCCCACUGAUCCUCAGGACAAAAACACAUCCCUGUCAUUGCUUUCUUCAAUUUCCCUGAUACAGUUCCUUUCUGUAGCUGACCUGCCUAGCGCUGCUCCAGAGCUGAUUACAUCAGAGACACAUAACUGACUCACAUUAAGACAACUGAAUUUUCUCUUAGGAAUUUGGGGUGGAGGCGAUGAGACUAAGGUGGAGAAUCAUGAGCAGAGUUAAACAAGAAUGGGAUGGCGCAGCACUGGGACACAGGUGAUGUGCAGCCAGCCAAAGCCACGAAGAAGCAAAAGCUAAGAAUCUCCCUGAGGAAAGCCCUAGGCAGAGAACAGAACAGAAACC
RNAcentral lists this long non-coding RNA (7500 nucleotides) under Homo sapiens (human). RNAcentral describes it as "HSALNT0135502". The record is from RNAcentral. Lineage: Eukaryota; Metazoa; Chordata; Mammalia; Primates; Hominidae.